This is a non-coding RNA of Danio rerio (zebrafish), 1339 nucleotides long. The record is from RefSeq and is a predicted model, not a curated record. NCBI's taxonomy places the organism in Eukaryota, Metazoa, Chordata, Actinopteri, Cypriniformes, Danionidae.
CAUGUUCUCCCUGUUGGUUUCCUCCGGGUGCUUACCUCACAAGUCUAAAGACAUGCUCUAUAGAUGAGAUGGAUAAGCUAAAUUGUCCUUAGUGUUUGUGCGAAUACGUGUGUGCAACCCGCAUAAAACAUAUGCUGGUUAAGUUGGAGGUUCAUUGCGCUGUGGCGACCCCUGAUUAAUAAAAAGACAACCGAAAAUUAAAUGAAAUGUAAUAUUUUAAGAUUAGUCAGUGUUACAGCAGUUCAGACUUUUUAUUUUAAUAUAGAGCUAGGCUUCUUAAUGCCUCAAUAUGUACACAAUUGUCUGGCUAACUUUGGUAUUUUUUUAAAAAAUUGUCUAUUAUCAAUAAAAAUUAAACCUUUAAUUUAGAUUUUUGGGCAAGAAAUGUGGGCAAAUUACUGCAUAUUCAAUCAUUAAAUAAUGUCUUGUUUGGAUAUUUAAACAUAACACUGGAAAUGUAUAAUACAAAUAGCAUAUUUGUCGUUGCUACUGUAGGCAAACAACCGAGGGAAAUAUGCUGAUAAAUGUGAGUUAUUUUCCCCCCGUUCACCUGCAGUGUGCAGGCCACCGGUUUGUUUCAGACCAGCAGGUGUCGCUGUUUCCCGUGUAAUGACACUCCACCUCCGGCGAGCUCUGUGUGAAGCAGCGUCUCCCACCACACCGCUCAGAUGAAGUAGAGCUGGAGCUGCUGGGACGAGCUCGAGCCUGUGUUGUUUGGGAUGUCGAGGAUUAAAUAUGGCCACUAGCUAGCUGGUUUACCACAGCCAGCGAUCGCCUAGAAAGCAGUGGCAUCAGCCGUAAAAUAUGGACUUGAAGAGCGCGAGAGGGUCUCUUUAAAGCGGUUCUCAGUGAAGCUUGAUCGCAUCGGCUGGUCUGGGCUGGCUUCGGCCUCAAGAAGCCUCUAAAGAUGAAUAUGGUGAAGAGGAUCAUGGGAAGGCCACGGCAGGAGGAGUGCAGCCCACAGGACAACGCGCUGGGACUGAUGCACCUGCGCCGCCUCUUCUCUGAGCUCUGCCACCCGCCGCGCCACAUGACACAGAAAGAGCAGGAGGAGAAGCUUUAUAUGAUGCUGCCUGUUUUCAAUCGGGUGAGAGAGAGAGAGAGAGAGAGAGAGAGAGAGAGAGAGAGAGAGGUGGCUGCUUAUUCAAAGAGACAGCAUUGUCAGCUCAUUUGCAUCAGAAAAAUGUGAUUUAUUAGGAAAUAUAGUGAAAGUACAGUUUAAAAAUAAAGUAAAAAAUUAAAAUAAUCAAUGAUUCAAGCCUCUCUGGUAGGAAAAAAAACAUUCAAAAGGCAUUAAAUAUAAGACUGAGGUAUAAUAGCAAUGCAUUGGUUGCAGUUU